CACAGUCUCAGUUCAGAUUGUAGGCUGAAACUCGCCUAUAUGAAGUCGGAAUUGCUAGUAAUCGCGGAUCAGCAUGCCGCGGUGAAUACGUUCCCGGGCCUUGUACACACCGCCCGUCACACCAUGAGAGUCGAUAACACCCGAAGCCUGUAGUCUAACAGCAAUGAGGACGCAGUCGAAGGUGGGAUUGAUAAUUAGGGUGAAGUCGUAACAAGGUACC
Molecule: ribosomal RNA, 220 nt
Filed under: uncultured bacterium
Lineage: Bacteria
Description: partial 16S ribosomal RNA
Rfam family: Bacterial small subunit ribosomal RNA
Source: RNAcentral